This 2557-nucleotide long non-coding RNA is filed under the name Salvia miltiorrhiza (redroot sage). Its description in RNAcentral is "long non-coding RNA (SMIL_LNC001073)". The record is from RNAcentral. Lineage: Eukaryota; Viridiplantae; Streptophyta; Magnoliopsida; Lamiales; Lamiaceae.
UGUAACGACCCGACUUUUCCACGGCAAGAAGAAAUAGGAAAAUAAUUGAAGAACUUAAUUGAGCUGAAUAAACUUGCCAAUUUACCCAUUAAAUCGGGUAUGCAUAUCUAAAGAGAUAAGAUGAAAGGAGAUAAAAUGAAAGGCAUUAAGAGACGCUAAUCAAAUGACAAUAUUUGAACUCAGGAUCGCAUAAGUUUAGUUUCGUGACUCUGGUCAUAAUCAAUGAUAGCUUUAUUAAAAGAAAUAUGGGUUAAGAGUCUAAGUCCAACAAGAUAAUAUUAUACCACACAAUAGAAAUUCUCCAUUUAUGGGAUGGAGGAUGAGGUGACAAGAUAGUUAUUAGCGGAAGCAAAAGACAUCGUGGAACCUUAGCCUCAGCUCAGCCUCGUCUGCACCAACUGAUCAACCUGAAAACAUUUGAAAAUAAUUUGGGCUGAGUACUAAUGUACUCAGUGGGCACAAGUUUUCGAAAUAUUUUAUGAAAUGUUAAGGCAGUUUAUCCAAUAUCAAAGUCAUGACUUAGAAGGUUUUAAAACGAAAUCCCUCUUCUAAGCAUGACAAAAACAUUUUCUUGUCGAGGGCGCCCAUGUACGUUCGAUUGUUACUCACUUUCUCCCUACAUUCACUGAUCUCGGGACGCACCCAGUCAGAUCCAAAAUCUGUUAUUGAUCUCGGGACGCACCCGGUCGGAAUCUAUAACCUUAACUGUGCUCCGGAUAACCUCCUGUCAAGCACCGUGCUCCGGAUAACCUCCUGUCAAGCACCCACCCUUAUAACGUUCUAAAUCUGUUAGUGCACGAUGGUGAUCAACCCAUCGAGCCACUAACCCUGUGUACACAAUCCUCAUUUAGCGUGUUAGGCCAAAUGAGAAUCUCGAUCGAUACUUAAGUGAGCCUUAAACAAUUACAGAACGCACAUAAAAACAUUUAUAUUGGAUAAACAGAUAAUUUUCAUGAAAUAUCAGAGCUUAUGUAACUCAAGAUACAUUGUAUAUAAAAUAAAGCCCACCUGAAUAGGCAAAGCCUGUAGUUUAAUCGUAAACCCGUCACGGAAACGCAGUGCUAAUCCUCCUGAUCCUCAAGCCUACAAGAAAUCUAUUCUUAAUAGGUCUCUUGGUGCUAUUCUAACUUCUAAACAAAUAUGGGGAUUGCUAACUAUUGAUACACUUUGCCCGAAUAAGAAUUCAAUAAUAUCUUUAAGUGAAUCCAUAAACUUUUAAUACAUAAUUAAUAACUUAAUAGAUAUAAUUAAUAAUAGAUUUAAAACUUAUAAAAUGGUUAAUAAUUCUUAUUAAAACAUUUUCAGGCUCAAACUAAUAGUUAAAGUCCAAGAAAAAAUAAUUUAAAGACUUGCUAUAAAUAAUACAGCUCAAUUAUAAUAUUGAAAGUAACAAGCUCAUUUAAAUUAAUAAAAUCAGCCCACUCAUAAUGAUAGCAAUAGGCCCAUUCAUUUAAUAAAAUCUGUCCAUACUAAAAUAAUUAGUGAGGCCCAAAAUAAAAAUCAAAACUUACCCUAAAAUGUAGAACAAUUAAAACAACCUUAUCUCUCUCUCUUCUCACCUCUCCCCUCACGGUUCUCUUUCUCUCUCUCUCUAUAACUCCCUUUCUCUCUCUCUCACCAUCACCUUUCUCCCCUCCCUCAAACAGAUCCGCCGCCGCCGCUGCUUCAGCUCCGCGAAAGUGCCGGCAGCCGCGCCUCCCCCGCACGGCGACCUCUCUUCACGCGCGGGCUCCUUUUUCUCACCCAAAAUCGUUUCCCCUUCCCCUUCUCUCCACUCUCACCGCCCCUCUCUCUUCCUCCCUAAAUUUUCGCCGCCGCCGCCGCUAACAACCCCGGCGGAAUGCCGGAUCUGAGCCUCCUCACCAUCGCUUCCUCGCGUUUCCGGCAGCUGACGGCAAAGGAGGGCCCCCGCCGCUGCUGCUCCGUUCGCGCCGCGUCAGCGGCGCUUGGCCUUCGGCCACGCCGCCCCGGCCUGCCCACGACACCGCCUCGCUCCGACUCCGUCUGUUUGGCCGCGAGUGGCCGGCGACUGCUGCCCGCAUGCAGCGCCGGCAGCCGCGGCUGACAGCCCGCGUCAAGCUCGGACAGCCUCCCUUUCCUAUCGCCUCCUCGACUCUCACCCUCUCCGAAGGCUAGCAAGAAGGGUUCAGAUUUCAGAUGUAAAAAGAUUUGAUUUUUGGUUGAUUUGGAGUUUCUGAAGUUUACUGAUGAAAGCUGUCGAUUGGUUUUUGUUUUGAACUGAUCUUUCUUUUUCUCAUUCUUUGGUUUAAAGAAGAAUUGGUCUGUGAGUUCUAGGAAUGUUCAAGUUUUCUGUGUUUUCAUGGUUGUUUUGCAGAAUAUUUCUGAGCUUGACUGUUGUUGCUGGUAAAAUGAUAGAGGAAAAAUGUGAUUUUGAAAAAUGAAAAGAGAUGGAAAAGGAUUUGCAGAGCAGUAUGUCGAUUAGGAGAUUAUGCAAAGGAAAAUAGAUAGUACAAUGACAGUACACUAGUACAAUGGAACUAGUACAUCUCAGCUCUCACCCCAUUAUACAAACAUAUCUUAUGCAUUUGGGUUUGGG